UAUUGUGAGAGGGCCGUGUGUCACCGCAUCCCAAACGACUCAAAAUAAUAAACCACAAAGUUAACAAAACAAUGGACCCCAAAAUGAUGGAAGCGAGAGCGUUUUUUUUUCUGGUUACUUCAAAACAGUUGCACCAUAAUGACUUAUACUGCCUUCACGUGCUAUCGGCAGCUUCCUAUUUCCCACUUAUAUGAAGGUAAGUUUAAAUGAGCCGUUUUAGGAGGGCGUGGACGAGUCUUAACUUUUAUAAAGAAUAUCUCUUUGGGUUUGAGACUUUAUUCUUUGCAACUUUAGGGAUCUCAUCUAUGCACGAACAGCUUGUAACGCUCCAAAGAGAAAGGAAAACUUGAAAUUGCAUCAUAUGACCCCUUUAAAAGUCAUUGAAUAAUCACACUGAUGUAAAAGCAUCAAAUGCAGUCACUGCUAAAACCAUCAACUGUUCAGCUGUCUGUAUUUCUGAUGUAACAAACUGAAGCUCAUCAAACAUCGAAGGUUUUCAACACCACCUUCUUUCAAAAUGAACAAGUCCCAUAUAGCUUUACACAUGAACAGCAUUUGAAAGCAUUUUUCACUUUUUUUUUUUUUUUUGAGGAAAUGUAUCAGUUUAUACCUGAGGGAAGUGAAGAACUGUGUGAUAAUAUAUGCAUUUGGACCUCAUUUAACACACCAAGUAAGAUGAACUUCCUUUCUGCAUAAAUACUGACCCACUCAAACACAGACGAGGAGCACAACACAGUCCACUAGUGUAACUCAACUAGUGUUCUUGACACCGAAAGUAUAAAAAACGACUACAGAAAAGAGUACAACCUGCAAAAUGCACCGAGAAGAUGGAAAAAGGGCUGAUGAUGUGUAUGAAAAUAUUGACGUUAUAACUGGUCGAUCUGGAAAAGAGAUCACCGACCAUAAUGCAUCGAGAAUCCAGUCAUCUGAACUCACAGGUGAAUUCCUGUGAAUUUCAAACAUAAUAGCACAAAUGUAAUCAAUAAUGACUUACUGCUCAGUUUGCAUGUUUUCAGUUGCUGUGUUCUGUGUUAAAUGGAAAAAUAUAGAGAAUAAAGUCAUGUUUGUUGAUGGUCAGGAAGUGAUGGUGUGAAGAUCAGGAGCUCCAGAGCAGCUGCAGUGUGUUUGGUGCUGCUGUGUGUUCUUCUGCUGACUGCGGUCAUAGUGCUGUGUGUCACCUUCACUCAAGAGAGACAACAGCUACUAACUAAGAUCACCAACCACACAGAAGAAAGAGACCAGCUACUAACCAACAAUACCAACUUAAUUCAACUAAACGUACAGUUCAAUCAAGAGAAAAAUGAACUGUCAAAGCUUAUUCAAGAUGGAUGGAUUUACUAUCAAUUCAGUCUUUACUACGUUUCCAAUGAGACAAAGAACUGGACUGAGAGCAGACGAUACUGUACAGAGAGAGGAGCAGAUCUAGUGAUCAUAAAGAACAGCGAAAAACAACCUGGAUUGGUCUGACCGACAGUGAUGAAGAGAGCAGAUGGAAAUGGGUUGAUGGCAGCACACUGAGCUCUGGGUUCUGGAUACCUUCUUCUGAGCCCAAUGGAAAUAUAUAUGAGAACUGUACUAUCACUCUUUCAGGAGUAUGGGCUGAUUAUCCAUGUUCUAGCAUUUUUAAAAUGUUACAUUUUUAAAAUGUAAAAUGACUAUUAUAUGCAAUACAUGUUUAUUUUCAGCAUAAAUAUGCUGGAACACUUAAACACCCAGAUCUUUUUAAUACCAUUAGCAGAGAGAGGCAAUAUUUGAAUUAAAUGUAUUUGAUUAAUUACUAAAUACAUAUUUUGUCAUUUGUAUUUUGC
Onychostoma macrolepis is the source of this 1808-nucleotide RNA transcript. It is a transcript of the gene named killer cell lectin-like receptor subfamily F member 1, with no coding region annotated. Lineage: Eukaryota; Metazoa; Chordata; Actinopteri; Cypriniformes; Cyprinidae. The transcript is spliced from 4 exons. The record is from RefSeq and is a predicted model, not a curated record.